This 668-nucleotide long non-coding RNA is filed under the name Nicotiana tabacum (common tobacco). Its description in RNAcentral is "long non-coding RNA (NTAB_LNC015297)". The record is from RNAcentral. Lineage: Eukaryota; Viridiplantae; Streptophyta; Magnoliopsida; Solanales; Solanaceae.
GCUUGAGAAUGUGCCAGUUGAGUUAUCUCAUUUUCUCCAGUAACGCUCCAGAAAGCAUCAAACUCUAGCUCAUUGUAUUCCCUCCUGAAACUGAUUUAAAAGGUCAGUUGAGCUUUUUUUUUUUUAAUGAAAAAAAUUGAAGAAAAAUCUUUCUUUACUCUGCAUUGCAAUUUGCUCAAACAUUGAUUUGAACAGUACUUUGUUUUUUGCCCAUUAAAAUAUAAAUUUUAGCCCCUGUUGACAUGAGCAUGGUCAUGAUCAUUCACUAUUCUUCUCGCGUUUCUUUACUUAAAAACAUAUGGUUGGACCAUGAUUAAGAAUAUGAAUAGCAUGUCUUUUUAUUCUAACAUAUAUUAACUUCUAUGGACUAUGGUACUAGACUAGAAAAUGCAGAAUCACUUGAAGAGAUUCCCUUAUAGGCAAGGAAACUUAAUUACACUUCUGAUCUUUUUCUUUUUAACUGAUUUUCCUGUAGUACAUCCUCAGUUUUAACUGAGAAAGAAAACAAUUCUAGUACGCAUGAUUUAACCUGGAAAAAUUUUCAGGCAUUUCAUCCUCAAGUACCGUACUUUCAAGGCGCUCCGUGGCCUUAUUCUGGCUUUCCAGUAUCAUUCUAUCCAGCACCGCCUAUUGGGAUGCACUGUAGCAAACCCUUGGAACAUACCGUG